RNAcentral lists this ribosomal RNA (253 nucleotides) under uncultured bacterium. RNAcentral's name for it is "partial 16S ribosomal RNA". It matches the Rfam family "Bacterial small subunit ribosomal RNA", at positions 524 to 776 of the family's 1533-position model. The record is from RNAcentral.
UACGGGGGGGGCAAGCGUUGUUCGGAAUUACUGGGCGUAAAGGGCUCGUAGGCGGCCAACUAAGUCAGACGUGAAAGCCCCCGGCUUAACCGGGGAGGGUCGUUGGGGACGGCGGGGCUUGAGGGCGGGAGAGGUCGGUGGAAUUCCCGGUGUAGUGGUGAAAUGCGUAGAGAUCGGGAGGAACACCUGUGGCGAAGGCGGCCGACUGGGCCGACCCUGACGCUGAGGCGCGAAGGCGUGGGGAGCGAACGGG